RNAcentral lists this small nuclear RNA (89 nucleotides) under Felis catus (domestic cat). RNAcentral describes it as "U2 spliceosomal RNA (ENSFCTG00005006587.1)". It matches the Rfam family "U2 spliceosomal RNA", at positions 1 to 118 of the family's 192-position model. From Rfam's summary of the family: U2 is a small nuclear RNA (snRNA) component of the spliceosome (involved in pre-mRNA splicing). Complementary binding between U2 snRNA (in an area lying towards the 5' end but 3' to hairpin I) and the branchpoint sequence (BPS) of the intron results the bulging out of an unpaired adenosine, on the BPS, which initiates a nucleophilic attack at the intronic 5' splice site, thus starting the first of two transesterification reactions that mediate splicing. RNAcentral also lists the same sequence under 1 other name. The record is from RNAcentral. Lineage: Eukaryota; Metazoa; Chordata; Mammalia; Carnivora; Felidae.
AUCACUUCUCAGCCUUUUGGCUAAGAUCAAGUGUAGAAUUUUUUUCCCUGUUUCCAUUUUGGUAAGUUGUAUUUUUCUAGAAAAUUUCU